Molecule: ribosomal RNA, 406 nt
Filed under: uncultured bacterium
Lineage: Bacteria
Description: partial 16S ribosomal RNA
Rfam family: Bacterial small subunit ribosomal RNA
Source: RNAcentral
GAUGAACGCUAGCUACAGGCUUAACACAUGCAAGUCGAGCGACCGGCGCACGGGUGAGUAACACGUAUCCAACCUGCCCUUUACUCGGGGAUAGCCUUUCGAAAGAAAGAUUAAUACCCGAUAUGAAGGAUGGGGAUGGGUUCCAUUCGGUUGUUGGUGAGGGAACGGCUCACCAAGCCUUCGAUGGAUAGGGGUGGUGAGAGGAAGGUCCCCCACAUUGGAAAUGAGACACGGUCCAAACUCGUACGGGAGGGAGCAGUGAGGAAUAGUGGUCAAUGGGCGCUAGCCUGAACCAGCCAAGUAGCGUGAAGGAGGAAGGCUGAUGGGUCGUAAACUUCGUUUAUAGAAGAAUCGGUAUUAGAUGAAUAAGGAUCGGCUAACUCCGUGCCAGCAGCCGCGGUAAUAC